GUACUGUGCAGCUCAGUUGGUUAGAGCAUGGAGCUGAUAAUGUGAAGGUUGCAGGUUCGAUCCCCGCAUGGGACA
RNAcentral lists this transfer RNA (75 nucleotides) under Podarcis lilfordi (Lilford's wall lizard). RNAcentral's name for it is "tRNA.Ile". Lineage: Eukaryota; Metazoa; Chordata; Lepidosauria; Squamata; Lacertidae. The record is from RNAcentral.